UUUGUAUAAUGGGUCAGCGACUUAUAUUCAGUGGCAAGGUUAACCAUCUAGGGGAGCCGUAGGGAAACCGAGUCUUAACUGGGCGUUCAGUCUCUGGAUAUAGACCCGAAACCAGGUGAUCUAGCCAUGGGCAGGUUGAAGGUUGAGUAACAUCAACUGGAGGACCGAACCGACUAAUGUUGAAAAAUUAGCGGAUGACUUGUGGCUAGGGGUGAAAGGCCAAUCAAACCUGGAGAUAGCUGGUUCUCCCCGAAAGCUAUUUAGGUAGCGCCUCGGACGAAUACUACUGGGGGUAGAGCACUGUUAAGGCUAGGGGGUCAUCCCGACUUACCAACCCUUUGCAAACUCCGAAUACCAGUAAGUACUAUCCGGGAGACACACGGCGGGUGCUAACGUCCGUCGUGGAGAGGGAAACAACCCAGACCGCCAGCUAAGGUCCCAAAUUACUACUAAGUGGGAAACGAUGUGGGAAGGCUCAGACAGCCAGGAUGUUGGCUUAGAAGCAGCCAUCAUUUAAAGAAAGCGUAAUAGCUCACUGGUCGAGUCGGCCUGCGCGGAAGAUGUAACGGGGCUAAGUAGUAAACCGAAGCUGCGGCAAUGUGCUUUUGCACAUUGGGUAGGGGAGCGUUCUGUAAGCGGUUGAAGGUGUGUGGUAACGCAUGCUGGACGUAUCAGAAGUGCGAAUGCUGACAUGAGUAACGAUAAAGGGGGUGAAAAACCUCCUCGCCGGAAGACCAAGGGUUCCUGUCCAACGUUAAUCGGGGCAGGGUAAGUCGACCCCUAAGGCGAGGCCGAAAGGCGUAGUCGAUGGGAAACGGGUUAAUAUUCCCGUACUUCUUACAAUUGCGAUGGGGGGACGGAGAAGGCUAGGUGGGCCUGGCGACGGUUGUCCAGGUUCAAGUGCGUAGGCUUAAGAGUUAGGUAAAUCCGGCUCUUUCUAAGGCUGAGACACGACGUCGAGCACCUACGGGUGUGAAGUCAUUGAUGCCAUGCUUCCAGGAAAAGCCUCUAAGCUUCAGAUUGUAAGGAAUCGUACCCCAAACCGACACAGGUGGUCGGGUAGAGAAUACCAAGGCGCUUGAGAGAACUCGGGUGAAGGAACUAGGCAAAAUGGUACCGUAACUUCGGGAGAAGGUACGCUCUUGAUGGUGAAGUCCCUUGCGGAUGGAGCUGACGAGAGUCGCAGAUACCAGGUGGCUGCAACUGUUUAUUAAAAACACAGCACUGUGCAAAAUCGUAAGAUGACGUAUACGGUGUGACGCCUGCCCGGUGCCGGAAGGUUAAUUGAUGGGGUUAGACUUCGGUCGAAGCUCUUGAUCGAAGCCCCGGUAAACGGCGGCCGUAACUAUAACGGUCCUAAGGUAGCGAAAUUCCUUGUCGGGUAAGUUCCGACCUGCACGAAUGGCGUAAUGAUGGCCACGCUGUCUCCACCCGAGACUCAGUGAAAUUGAAAUCGCUGUGAAGAUGCAGUGUACCCGCGGCUAGACGGAAAGACCCCGUGAACCUUUACUACAGCUUGGCACUGAACAUUGACCCUACAUGUGUAGGAUAGGUGGGAGGCUUUGAAGCACGUACGCCAGUAUGUGUGGAGCCGUCCUUGAAAUACCACCCUUGUAGUGUUGAUGUUCUAACGUCGACCCCUAAUCGGGGUUGCGGACAGUGCCUGGUGGGUAGUUUGACUGGGGCGGUCUCCUCCCAAAGAGUAACGGAGGAGCACGAAGGUGGGCUAAUCACGGUUGGACAUCGUGAGGUUAGUGCAAUGGCAUAAGCCCGCUUGACUGCGAGAAUGACAAUUCGAGCAGGUGCGAAAGCAGGUCAUAGUGAUCCGGUGGUUCUGAAUGGAAGGGCCAUCGCUCAACGGAUAAAAGGUACUCCGGGGAUAACAGGCUGAUACCGCCCAAGAGUUCAUAUCGACGGCGGUGUUUGGCACCUCGAUGUCGGCUCAUCACAUCCUGGGGCUGAAGUCGGUCCCAAGGGUAUGGCUGUUCGCCAUUUAAAGUGGUACGCGAGCUGGGUUUAGAACGUCGUGAGACAGUUCGGUCCCUAUCUGCCGUGGGCGUUGGAAGAUUGAAGGGGGCUGCUCCUAGUACGAGAGGACCGGAGUGGACGAACCUCUGGUGUUCGGGUUGUGUCGCCAGACGCAUUGCCCGGUAGCUAAGUUCGGAAUCGAUAACCGCUGAAAGCAUCUAAGCGGGAAGCGAGCCCUGAGAUGAGUCUUCCCUGAUACUUUAAGUAUCCUAAAGGGUUGUCGGAGACUACGACGUUGAUAGGUCAGGUGUGUAAGUGCUGUGAGGCAUUGAGCUAACUGAUACUAAUUGCCCGUGAGGCUUAACCAU
This 2336-nucleotide ribosomal RNA is filed under the name Vibrio parahaemolyticus. Its description in RNAcentral is "partial 23S ribosomal RNA". It matches the Rfam family "Bacterial large subunit ribosomal RNA", at positions 607 to 2925 of the family's 2925-position model. Lineage: Bacteria; Pseudomonadati; Pseudomonadota; Gammaproteobacteria; Vibrionales; Vibrionaceae. The record is from RNAcentral.